GACGAACGCUGGCGGUGUGCUUAACACAUGCAAGUCGAACGGUAAGGCCCUUUCGGGGGUACACGAGUGGCGAACGGGUGAGUAACACGUGAGUAACCUGCCCUCAUCUCUGGGAUAACAGUCGGAAACGGUUGCUAAUACUGGAUAUGAGCUUGCAAGGCAUCUUGUGGGUUGGAAAGAUUUUUUUGGUUGGGGAUGGACUCGCGGCCUAUCAGCUUGUUGGUGAGGUAGUGGCUCACCAAGGCUUCGACGGGUAGCCGGCCUGAGAGGGCGACCGGCCACAUUGGGACUGAGAUACGGCCCAAACUCCUACGGGAGGCAGCAGUGGGGAAUAUUGCACAAUGGACGGAAGACUGAUGCAGCAACGCCGCGUGCGGGAUGACGGCCUUCGGGUUGUAAACCGCUUUCAAUUGUGACGAAGCUUUUUGUGACGGUAGCAGUAGAAGAAGCACCGGCUAACUACGU
RNAcentral lists this ribosomal RNA (465 nucleotides) under uncultured bacterium. Its description in RNAcentral is "partial 16S ribosomal RNA". It matches the Rfam family "Bacterial small subunit ribosomal RNA", at positions 28 to 506 of the family's 1533-position model. The record is from RNAcentral.